ACGUCACACCUGAAUUCCAUCAAGCCUCCAGGUCCACCUGCCGGUUUAUACAAUCCAGGAGGCAGAGGCCCAGGCCACAUGACGCCGCAGGGAUGCAGUCAGCACAAUCCAGACUGUGGGAAAUCUAUGGCAGAAACAACCUCAACGAUACAGUUCAAGGAAAUCAAAAGGGUUGGGGGAGGGUGGAGUGUGGGGAAGGAAACCCGAUGUAAAAGAGGCAAAACAACGUGUAAGCCAGUUGGCACCUCAUUCAAACAAACACACGGCAAUGCUGAAAAAGGAAGGUUGGAAGAAUGUAAAUGCUGACCAGAUAUUUGAUGAUAUGAAGGAAUUAGAGUAAAUUGUGCAGAAAGAGCUGCCUUGGUUCCCUCUUCGGAAGACGGGGAGCUGGUCAGGAGCGAAGCUUCACUGACCCAGGGAAGGGAGAGGCCCCUCCUGGAUGUGCCGUCUGUGUGGUUCCAGCACCUGCCCGGAAGGACCCCUUCCUCGCUGCCUCCCUGCCACCCGGUCAGACUCUGGAAGCCUGGCUCUCCUGACAGCUGAUGCCUUCUUGAGACAUCCUGGUGGAAAACUUGGAAGCUGUCUGGAGAACCACAGGUACUGCUGGAGCAGCCGCUGGCUCUGCGGCCGGAUCUGGGUCUCCCCUCCUGCCCCACUGACCCAGGCAGGCCAGACGCUGUCAUUUUGAUCCCCACCAGGUUGUCAUGAAAGUCCUCGCCCAGACACACUAUGGCCCCUGGAAAUUCCUAAAUGUCUUUCCCCUGGGCUGUGCUCUACAGGGCCAGGCAAUGAAUCAAAAGGCUGCACAAGCCAGGCCCUGGAGCUGUGAGGGGCCAGGGAUUUGGAAAAAGCACUCUUUGUUCAUGGCAGGUCAGCUGUUACACGUAAAAGCCAAAGCGCUUCUGGCUCUCCUGACAGGUGUCCAGUGUGCAGCACACGCAGGUGGAGAGGCUGGCUGCUUCCAGCUUCGAGCAAGUUACCCCAUAGCCAUGCUUUUGUUUCUAGCCGCCCAGUUAAAGGGACAUGAAAGAACACAGACCUGCCUGAGUGAAGACAACAUGGUGAAGGGCCUUGAGCCAUGAAGAAUGACUGAGAUGGUGAUGUUAAGCCUGGUAAAGGCAAGACUUGGGGACCCAGAGAUGCUGUCAAUAUUUAAAAGUCGGUCUCAUGAACAAGAGGUUAGAUGUGCGUGCAUGUCUGUCUGUGUGUGUGUGUGUGUGUGUGUGUGUGUGUGUGUGUGUACUUGAGUUCACUGAAAGAAGCUUUGCUGAGAAUGGGCUGCUGAGGUCAGAACGUCCAGCUUCAAAUCCUACCUUCUGUGCCUAAGUUAUCUUGUCUGUAAAGUGGAACUAAAAAGUAGUACUUAUCUUCAAGGGCUGUUGUAAAGAUUAAAAUGAGUGAAUGUAUGUAAAAAUGCUUUGAAUGGCCUGGUUCAUACUAAGCACUCAAUAAAUGUUAGGUUAAUAUAAUGUUCACCGCUGUCAGCAGACAGAAACUUCUGUGAUAUCACAAAUGAAGACAGCAAGAUCCAAGUUGUAUGACCAAUUUUGUUUUUAAAAUGCACAUUAUUUUGUUUUCUUUGUUUUUUUAAAUAUGUUGCAAUUUUAAUUUGUUUUAAACAUCUUUUUGGAUUUGGGGGCGGGGAACU
Camelus dromedarius (Arabian camel) is the source of this 1648-nucleotide long non-coding RNA. RefSeq lists it as uncharacterized. The transcript has 3 exons. The record is from RefSeq and is a predicted model, not a curated record. Lineage: Eukaryota; Metazoa; Chordata; Mammalia; Artiodactyla; Camelidae.